CAAGCAUUGUUUUCGAAUUUUUUCAUGCAUCAAAGCUCGUUAAGACUAGAUGGGGGAUCCCUACAUAGCGGGUGGGACCCACGGCGAAUGGUUCAUCAAGUCUUCAAAAAAGAAUAUAUACGAUUGCAUUGCAUAUACUAACGGAUGCGAUCAUACCAGCACUAAUGCACCGGAUCCCGUCAGAACUCCGCAGUUAAGCGUGCUUGGGCGAGAGUAGUACUAGGAUGGGUGACCUCCCGUGAAGUCCUCGUGUUGCAUCCCUCUUUUAUGUUUAACCUUUUUU
This 283-nucleotide ribosomal RNA is filed under the name Arabidopsis thaliana (thale cress). The record is from RNAcentral. Lineage: Eukaryota; Viridiplantae; Streptophyta; Magnoliopsida; Brassicales; Brassicaceae.